This is a long non-coding RNA of Xenia sp. Carnegie-2017, 311 nucleotides long. RefSeq lists it as uncharacterized. The record is from RefSeq and is a predicted model, not a curated record. NCBI's taxonomy places the organism in Eukaryota, Metazoa, Cnidaria, Anthozoa, Malacalcyonacea, Xeniidae. The transcript has 4 exons.
GCCAAGAUUAGCAAAAACCCUCUUUUAUUGUAUGUUCUUCAUUUAACAACAUUAACAAUAACAAAGACGGUACUCGACUGACAAUCAAGGAAGCAUUUUGACCUGCACAAGUUUAAAGUCUUCAAGAAGCAAUAUCGUGUGAUGGUUCGUAUACUGUUUUUGUGGGUUUCGAUUUUAGCAUCAAUUGACAGAAUCUCUGCAAAGAAUAUACAAUGGGAGAAAAAACUGGGAGAUUUUUUUCGGUCAUGGAAAGUUGAAAGUUUUUUAAACGAAGACAAAAAGGUAAUGGAAAGAUUGAACAGAGUAUGGGC